This is a small nucleolar RNA of Octodon degus (degu), 105 nucleotides long. RefSeq annotates it as small nucleolar RNA U13. The record is from RefSeq and is a predicted model, not a curated record. The transcript has a single exon. Lineage: Eukaryota; Metazoa; Chordata; Mammalia; Rodentia; Octodontidae.
AUCAUUUGGUUUAUGAGCGUGAUGAUUGGGUGUUCAUAUCUUAUAAUGCAUGAGAUGUGCCUCCCUCAAACCUUGUUACGACAUGGGCACAUUACCCAUCUGACG